Molecule: long non-coding RNA, 1722 nt
Organism: Armigeres subalbatus
Lineage: Eukaryota; Metazoa; Arthropoda; Insecta; Diptera; Culicidae
Exons: 4
Source: RefSeq, a predicted model, not a curated record
UUCAUUUUAAAGAAAAUACCCCUCGUGGGUGACGAAUUACAUUACACAUAAAUAUUUUACGAGCGCUGACUUACCCCUCUCGAUGUUUUGACAGUUUGUCUGUUUGUUUUUCUCCCUCACCUUCCCUCUCAGCGUCGCCGUCGAUGAAUCGAUGAUGACUUUCCGAUUCGGUCGUGAAAGAAUUUUGGUGGGCCAGUCCGUUUGUUUCGUGAAAUGCGUUGGGCAGUGAAAAAAAAACGCGAAGGUAUGGAAACAUCGAAAACCGACCAGCCAAUACUCCGGACGGUGAAAUUCGCGAAUUCAGAUGUGCAUGUGAUGGAUAAAAAUUCAGCCGUACGACCAAUGGCUCCAAACUGGCAUAUCAAUAAUAUGCGCCUUGCGAAACUUGUCGCAGUACACGGUUCCAGAUGGUUCCAGUGCAGACGGUGGACCGCUACCAAACAAUUCAAACAACAACAAUGUCGUCGGCGUGCGUACAGCCGCUUUUACUGAUUCCUGCGAUCGACGACUCCUGGACGGGCUCGAAGGGUGAAUUCGAGAGCAAAGUGGUAAAUAUGGAGUCUAACUGAUGAGUAAAACGCAGCCGGUGCGACCAAGGUGCUCUGUGCUGUAGAAUGUAUACCUACGUGCCCAAACUUGCGCAUGGCUUAGCUGAUUCAAAUGAAUCGAAAUAAUUCUUUUUAGUUUUGUGUGGCGAGCUUUUGGACAUCUCCUUUGGAAAAAUAUAUAACCGUGCGAUCGAGGGCUGCCAUAGUUCAACACCAAUUUUUCUUCGAAACACAAUCUGCUCUUCGAUGACAUCCAACAGUGCCGAGCUGCUUAUUUGUUAUCAGGCAGAGAGGACGGAGGAAGCUUUCUCGAACCAUUUAUACGUAUCCGGAAAAUGACGUUUUUUGGAGUUCAAAACAACUAGCAACUGUGAUUGAUUGCAAUCAAAUGCACCGGAAACCGUUUCCACUGAGAAAAACUACGAUGGAGCAGUUUUUCUGAGCUUUCCUACUCAUGAAGAUUAAGAAGGUAAUGGUAUCAUCAACAUCAACAAUAAGCGUACCCGUUUUUAAAUCUACAGGAUUCUCUCUAGGAAAAAUCUCUAGGAUUUCCUUUGAAUUUCUUAAAGGAUUCCAUUUGGAUUCCCGAAAGUGUUCCCUUUGGAAUUCUUAUAGAAAUUCUCUUCGAAAUACUCCCCCUUCGAAAUCUUGGAAGCAUUCAUUUCGGAAUCCAAGAAAGUUUCUUUCGAAAUCCCAGAGGGUUUCUCUUUGAAAUUCCUAAAGGAUUUCCUUCGGAAUCCCCAAAUAAUUCAAUUCGGAAUCCCUAAUUACCUAAUUUUCUUUGCUAUAUUAGGGUAUCAUUUUUUUUUAUCCUUGAAAGAUUGUUUAAUAAUCCCAGAAGGAUUCGGGAUCUUCAAAGGACUUAGAGGCCACUCACCUUUCGCCCUGCUAUUUCACUGGAUGGAAAAUUCAUGUUCAAGAUGACACGCUGCCCCUGGAUGAUAUUACCAUUACACAUGAGAGCUGCGGAUGGACCGAUCAGGACAACGAAAUAUAGGCGCACUCAGCUUACCGCGAUUCUACCACUGUAAAUAAUGGUAACCGACUGUAAAAUUAACCAUUCAAUAAUCUUCUGAAUUUCACCAUGCCGCUGUAUAGAGAAAAUACGUUGUGGACAUAAAAUUAAUGUACUUCAUACAAAAUGCAUGCAAUAAAAAAUAGAUAAUGAGAAGAC